AAAGAAGCAAGACAGAGAUGAUCACCCCUGCCUGAUCCUGAUCCCCUGGAGCAAGCCCUGGCUAAAGCGCUGGCAAUUGUCUAAAAAUAUUUAACUUGGUAAGAAAGAACAUGUAAGCCAUUGAUGGCAGCUUGAAGAACCAUUAAGAGGCUGUUAUGAGGCAACAGGUGACUGAGGAAGAAAGCCCUUUGGAAG
Cervus elaphus (red deer) is the source of this 195-nucleotide long non-coding RNA. RefSeq lists it as uncharacterized. The record is from RefSeq and is a predicted model, not a curated record. The transcript has 3 exons. NCBI's taxonomy places the organism in Eukaryota, Metazoa, Chordata, Mammalia, Artiodactyla, Cervidae.